CACGGGGGGAGCAAGCGUUGUUCGGAAUCACUGGGCGUAAAGGGCGUGUAGGCGGUUGCGUAAGUGGAAUGUGAAAUCCCCCGGCUUACCCGGGGACCUGCAUCCCAAACUGCGCGACUUGAGUAUGGGAGAGGAUGAGGGAAUUCCUGGUGUAGCGGUGAAAUGCGCAGAUAUCAGGAAGAACACCUAUGGCGAAGGCAGCACUCUGGGACGGUACUGACGCUGAGACGCGAAAGCGUGGGGAGCGAACAGG
This 253-nucleotide ribosomal RNA is filed under the name uncultured bacterium. RNAcentral describes it as "partial 16S ribosomal RNA". It matches the Rfam family "Bacterial small subunit ribosomal RNA", at positions 524 to 776 of the family's 1533-position model. The record is from RNAcentral.